GAUGAACGCUGGCGGCGUGCUUAACACAUGCAAGUCGAACGAGAAGUGAAGACGGAAACCUUCGGGCGGAAGGCUUUAUUUCGAGUGGCGGACGGGUGAGUAACGCGUGGGUAACCUGCCUCAUACAGGGGGAUAACAGUUGGAAACGACUGUUAAUACCGCAUAAGGCCACAGCACCGCAUGGUGCGGGGGUAAAAACUCCGGUGGUAUGAGAUGGACCCGCGUUCGAUUAGCCAGUUGGCGGGGUAACGGCCCACCAAAGCGACGAUCGAUAGCCGAUCUGAGAGGAUGACCGGCGACAUUGGGACUGAGACACGGCCCAAACUCCUACGGGAGGCAGCAGAGGGGAAUAUUGCACAAUGGGGGAAACCCUGAUGCAGCGACGCCGCGUGAGUGAAGAAGUAUUUCGGUAUGUAAAGCUCUAUCAGCAGGGAAGAAAAUGACGGUACCUGAGGAAGAAGCCCCGGCUAACUACGUG
Molecule: ribosomal RNA, 478 nt
Filed under: uncultured bacterium
Lineage: Bacteria
Description: partial 16S ribosomal RNA
Rfam family: Bacterial small subunit ribosomal RNA
Source: RNAcentral